RNAcentral lists this ribosomal RNA (406 nucleotides) under uncultured bacterium. Its description in RNAcentral is "partial 16S ribosomal RNA". It matches the Rfam family "Bacterial small subunit ribosomal RNA", at positions 30 to 526 of the family's 1533-position model. The record is from RNAcentral.
AUUGAACGCUGGCGGCAGGCCUAACACAUGCAAGUAGAACGAGAGGCGGACGGGUGAGUAAUGUAUGGGAAACUGCCUGAAGGAGGGGGAUAACUACUGGAAACGGUAGCUAAUACUGCAUACCAUCAGAUGUGCCUAGAUGGGAUUAGCUAGUUGGUGGGGUAACGGCUCACCAAGGCGACGAGCCCGAGCAGGUCUGAGAGGAUGACCGGCCAACCUGGAACUGAGACACGGUCCAGACUCCUACGGGAGGCAGCAGUGGGGAAUCUUGCACAAUGGGCGCAAGCCUGAUGCAGCCAUGCCGCGUGUAUGAAGAAGGUCUUCGGAUUGUAAAGUACUUUCAGCGGGGAGGCGUUACCAGCAGAAGAAGCACCGGCUAACUCCGUGCCAGCAGCCGCGGCAAUUC